Caenorhabditis tropicalis is the source of this 47-nucleotide non-coding RNA. NCBI's taxonomy places the organism in Eukaryota, Metazoa, Nematoda, Chromadorea, Rhabditida, Rhabditidae. The record is from Rfam.
CCAACGGCCCUCUUUAGGGCCACAAAACUGCAAUCCUGUAAUUAUCU